Molecule: long non-coding RNA, 682 nt
Organism: Capsicum annuum
Lineage: Eukaryota; Viridiplantae; Streptophyta; Magnoliopsida; Solanales; Solanaceae
Exons: 2
Source: RefSeq, a predicted model, not a curated record
GAAGAAAAAGAAGCUUCAAAAUCAAGAUCUUGAGAAAUUCUUGGAUAAAAGGGUAAGCUGACAUGCAUUUACACUCUCUUAACCAUUUUGUCUUCUCUUGUAUGAAAUCUGAACUUUAUCCUGAAAGAUGCAUUUUAUGGAUUCAGCUUCUCUCUAUAUGCUUCCCCAUGAGUUGCUCAUAUACUAUAUGAAGUAUCUUCAUUUCACCCUUUGUUAUGUUUUAGAGUCAUUCAUACUCUUUCUGUCAAUAAAUUACCUCGUCUUUGACCUUGGCUUUAACGGAGCUCGGAUCCAGUGUAAAGGUAUCUCCGCUAUACUUCAUGUUGGAGCUCCAUUGGGAUCAAGGACAAUCCCAAGACAAUUUGAUAACGUAAAGGUAAGAAUACCCCAAUAUGUAAAAGAGUAAAAUUAAGGUAUUUCGUAUAGUAAAAAGGUAUUUCUGACUCUUCUUCCUUUCUUUUAACUAUUACUAUGUGUUCUACCAAAACAAUGAAACUUAAAAUUAUCUUCUCUCUUUGGUCCAUGUUUCAGAGAUUAAUUCGACUUCAGAAGAAAUCGUUUGACAAAUUAAUCACAGAGCUGCAAUGAAAGGUUGCUGAGGAAGCAAUAUCUAAUGAGGUGUUGAAAAAUAAGGAAAUGUAUGAAGAAAUUGUACGGAAAGAAAGAUCGACUAAAUCUGAAA